RNAcentral lists this long non-coding RNA (84 nucleotides) under Capra hircus (goat). RNAcentral's name for it is "lncRNA (ENSCHIG00010003919.1)". The record is from RNAcentral. Lineage: Eukaryota; Metazoa; Chordata; Mammalia; Artiodactyla; Bovidae.
ACAAGACCAAGAGAGCGAGACCCAAAGACACGUUCACAAGAGUUAUCAAUAGUUUGACAAUAUACUGCCUGAAUCGGACAUUAC